UACGUAGGGCGCAAGCGUUAUUCGGAAUUACUGGGCGUAAAGAGCUCGUAGGCGGUUUGUCGCGUCUGCCGUGAAAGUCCGGGGCUCAACUCCGGAUCUGCGGUGGGUACGGGCAGACUAGAGUGAUGUAGGGGAGACUGGAAUUCCUGGUGUAGCGGUGAAAUGCGCAGAUAUCAGGAGGAACACCGAUGGCGAAGGCAGGUCUCUGGGUCGACACUGACGCUCAUGCACGAAAGCGUGGGGAGCAAACAGG
Molecule: ribosomal RNA, 253 nt
Filed under: uncultured bacterium
Lineage: Bacteria
Description: partial 16S ribosomal RNA
Rfam family: Bacterial small subunit ribosomal RNA
Source: RNAcentral